This 382-nucleotide long non-coding RNA is filed under the name Pan troglodytes (chimpanzee). RNAcentral's name for it is "long non-coding RNA NONPTRT009404". The record is from RNAcentral. Lineage: Eukaryota; Metazoa; Chordata; Mammalia; Primates; Hominidae.
GUGAAAUUAUUAUGAGACAAAACUUAGGGGAGCACGGCCUGCUUUCCUAGCGCUCUGGUUAAAUGACCAACUAAUGGAAAACAAUCCUGGGGGGACCAGGGAGCCACUUCCUUUCCCACAUACUCCGGAAAUUAAAGUUGGUCUCCUUAAGGCUGGAGUGUCAAAUCGUUGUUUUAAGCUUGUCACAAAUGUAACUUACAUUUGGACUAAUGUUUUAAAAAAUAAUUGGAGUUUUGAAUCUACGAAGAUACCUUGGAAGUAAACAUAGUUAUUAUUUUGGUGGGAAAAAAAUGAAUGGACUAGAAAGUGAGUCACCUGUCCUGUUUCCGGGGCUCAGCUCUAGCAAAGUACCUUUCUCCAUCUACAGUCUCCGGCACACAGC